RNAcentral lists this ribosomal RNA (496 nucleotides) under uncultured bacterium. RNAcentral describes it as "partial 16S ribosomal RNA". It matches the Rfam family "Bacterial small subunit ribosomal RNA", at positions 28 to 507 of the family's 1533-position model. The record is from RNAcentral.
GACGAACGCUGGCGGCGUGCCUAAUACAUGCAAGUUGAGCGCUGAAGGUUGGUACUUGUACCAACUGGAUGAGCAGCGAACGGGUGAGUAACGCGUGGGGAAUCUGCCUUUGAGCGGGGGACAACAUUUGGAAACGAAUGCUAAUACCGCAUAAAAACUUUAAACACAAGUUUUAAGUUUGAAAGAUGCAAUUGCAUCACUCAAAGAUGAUCCCCGUUUUAUUAGCUAGUUGGUGAGGUAAAGGCCCACCAAGGCGAUGAUACAUAGCCGACCUGAGAGGGUGAUCGGCCACAUUGGGACUGAGACACGGCCCAAACUCCUACGGGAGGCAGCAGUAGGGAAUCUUCGGCAAUGGACGAAAGUCUGACCGAGCAACGCCGCGUGAGUGAAGAAGGUUUUCGGAUCGUAAAACUCUGUUGGUAGAGAAGAACGUUGGUGAGAGUGGAAAGCUCAUCAAGUGACGGUAACUACCCAGAAAGGGACGGCUAACUACGUG